AUCGCUUCUCGGCCUGAUGGCUAAGAUCAAAGUGUAGUAUCUGUUCUUAUCAGCUUAAUAUCUGAUACACUCCCCAUCGGGGAGUCAGAAUAUUAGUCUGAUUUUUGGAAUUCGGCGGAGUCGGCGGGGCUCGCUCCUCCUCUGCCACGGGUCGGCCCGGCAUUGCAGUGCUGCUGGGAUUGGCCCUACUUGU
RNAcentral lists this small nuclear RNA (193 nucleotides) under Bombus huntii. RNAcentral describes it as "U2 spliceosomal RNA". It matches the Rfam family "U2 spliceosomal RNA". From Rfam's summary of the family: U2 is a small nuclear RNA (snRNA) component of the spliceosome (involved in pre-mRNA splicing). RNAcentral also lists the same sequence under 2 other names. Lineage: Eukaryota; Metazoa; Arthropoda; Insecta; Hymenoptera; Apidae. The record is from RNAcentral.